This 687-nucleotide ribosomal RNA is filed under the name Triticum aestivum (bread wheat). Its description in RNAcentral is "partial small subunit ribosomal RNA". Lineage: Eukaryota; Viridiplantae; Streptophyta; Magnoliopsida; Poales; Poaceae. The record is from RNAcentral.
AUGGAAACUUUGCCACAUUCGGAGUUUAUUAAGAUAGCGGUUACACUUUGGGCGAUUUGGUCUUCGUGACGGAAAGCAAUCCACGAGGGCAUCUUCCAAAGCCCACAGGGCACACAUGCUUUUAUUCAGAGAUAUUUGGAUGACCUGGAAAUUAUUAGAGAAAGGAAACCAGCUCAUGGGGGAAGUACAACACAACAAAUGAGUAGAGCUGUCCGACCAAAGGCACCCCCGGCAGGGUCAUCCAAGUUUCAUGUUGACGCCGGAUGCCGUUCAUGGGGAGGCACUGCUGCGGCAGUGUGCAGAGAUGACCGCGGGGCUUAUCUCGGUAGCUCCGCAAUUGUUCUCCGAGGCAUUACAUAUCCGGCUACCCUUGAGGCAAUUGCGUGCCGGGAAGCAUUAUCGCUAGCGAAGGAUUUGAAUAUCCAGCGUAUGGUUAUUUCGUCUGACUCCAAGCAAGUGGUGGGCGACAUAAUCUCAGGAAACAGCGGAAGAUAUGGUACGGUUAUUAGGGAGAUUCAAAAUAGAGCUCAUCAUUUUAUGUGUAAUUUCAUGUAUGAAAGCCGAAACUCUAACGUUGAGGCUCAUAGCUUAGCAAAAACACUCUCUGUAGGCCCUGGGCGCCAUGUGUGGUUAGGCCAUUCCUAUAAUCCAAGAUGUAUACCACAAACUGUGGCUUUUGAUCGUUAA